Molecule: long non-coding RNA, 206 nt
Organism: Homo sapiens (human)
Lineage: Eukaryota; Metazoa; Chordata; Mammalia; Primates; Hominidae
Exons: 3
Source: RefSeq, a predicted model, not a curated record
ACAGGGACUAUAAGAGUAAGGAAAAACAAGGUGAAGAUAAAACUGAGAAGAGUAGCAGAGGAGGAGGAUCUAAGAGAGCUGUUGUGAGGAUCAAAUAACAGUAAAUGUGAAAGAAGUUUAUAAAUUGCUGAGUGCAAUAUAAGCACAGCUUCAGGGAUUAAAGCCAGAGACCACAAAUGUAAAGCCAGGCCAAGAGUCAGCCUCAG